CAUAUUCUUUUUAAAAAAAUUAUUGUCAUCUGUCAGAUGGUACAGGAUGACAAAGACAAGGACAAACAGACUGAGGAACAGCUGUGAUCUUGGAGCCAUGGCUAUGUUGAACUCCAUGGUUUUGCAUUGAUGUGUCCUUCGGGGCUGUGUGGUGGUGGUGGGAUUGUGGAGAGAUGGGUGUGUUGUUUUGUGGUGUGGCUGGGGAAGGCAUUUAAUUUCAUUGUGCAAUAGCUAUUUGAAUUCCAAUUGUUCCUAAAGUAGGCCCCUUGAAUGAGUGCAAUUUGCUUAUGUCUUGUCUCACAAUUGAACUAUGGAUUCAGUGUGUUUGCUCUGGAUGGGUGUCGGAGGCACAGCAAAGACAAUCCCUCUUGCAGCCCCUUGCUGCUUUAUACGUAUAGAGUGUUUAUAUCUUGCACCGUUUAGUGACCUUUCCAAGCUGUCACUUUUCAAUGGAAGAGGAAAUGAUUCUUUUUCGGUCCCAUCAUUAAGUUGUUGCCCUCCGGGAAAUGUAACUGAUGAUCGCUGUUGAGCAAAAUAGGUGGGGAUUCUGAUCAUAACGUUGCAGGGAUUUUGGAAAGAGAAGGACAGCAAUCGUUAAUGCCAGGGUGUUCGAUGUGCUUAUUUUCUAAUAAGCCUCGCCCUUGGGCUCCGUAGCGCAAUCCACAGCUGUGUCCGGCCAGACCUCUUGCACUCAUCAGGCCGGGAACACAUACAAUCCUUCAAACUGGAAAGAAGAAAGACAACCCACAUGGACCCGGAUGGUGUCGGCCAGGCCAAGAGAUUGCCCACCGUUCCCUCACAAGGAGAAAUGACUCUGAGGGAGAUUGAGCUGCAUUUCCAGCGUUUCAGGAUCGAACGUCAGUCACCCUCCAGGCUCUUUUUUGGUGAAUGGCAGAGAAACCACGCAAAAAGCACUCAUGUCUAGACACCGAGGCUUCCACCCACUCACAGCGUCCAGCUCCCCCUCCCCACCCUCUCAUCUAUCUAUCUAUCUAUCUAUCUAUCUAUCUAUCUAUCUAUCUAUCUAUCUAUCUAUCUAUCUAUCUAUCUAUCUAUCAUCUCUCUGUCAAACCAUGGCUGGAACUUACAAUCUGAGAGAGGAAAUGCAUGAUCUAUCUAUCUAUCAUCUAUCUAUCUAUCUAUCUAUCUAUCUAUCUAUCUAUCUAUCUAUCUAUCUAUCAAUCAUCUAUGUGUGUCUGUUUUCUCUCUCCAAAAUAGAUGUUUUGCAUCACAGAGUGGAUCCUCAGUUUGCAAUGCAUGACUUGACAUGGCGCAUAUUCCUCACUUGGUUGAUGGGGGAGAGUAUGGCCCCAGUGUGGACUGGGGUGCCAGAAUCCAGUGCUUGGCAUCAGCACAGACAUCCUUCCUGGCCGGGGAGUGCCGGGCAAAGGUGGGGAAGGUGGGCAGGAGCCCCAAUUGGCCAAGGCCAGCCCCACUCCAGCUGGGAGAGCGUUAUCCUACAAGCAACUGGAGGAGCAGCAAUGGCUGGCAGAUCCCCAUUUGGCCCAAGGGCCCGUGGCUUCCUUCUUCACCAACCAGGAGCCAGGAGCAGAAGGUGCAUGCCCAAGGGGCACCACGGCCACAGAGCCUUUCCAAGGGGAGAUAUGGGCAGAAAGGGCUGGGCAAGAAGGAGAGGCAUCCAAACACUGACCGCUGUAGCAGUUGGAGUUUCAGUCUCGUGUGGCACAAUGGGGGAAAGGAAGGGUCCUGAGGCUGUUAGGAGUUGGAGUCCAAAACACAUGGAGGGAGAGCUCAAGUUGUCCCAUGCUUGGCCAAGAUGGUCAUCUGUCGAGGGGGCGUGAUUGUUCUUUUCCUGCCUCACAGAAGGGGGUUGGGCUGGAUGGCCCAUGCAGGAUCUUCCUGCUCUCUUCUGUUCUAUUAUUCUGUGUUGUCUGGUGUGGGAUCAAUCUGGGAAACACUUGGAAAUGGAAAAGGAUUGCCUCAAAGGGUUGGAGUAUUGGAAAUAGCAACCUUUCAAGCCUUCACUGUUUGUUGGUGUAUAUAUUUACUAACCUGUAUUGUAUGUAUAUGUUGAUUUGACAGUUUGACUGUACCUCUUUGGUGUGGGAUAGACAUGUGAUUGUACUGAGCAUGUUCAGACUCAGGACUCCAUUUUGUUAUCAGUAUCUGUUUGGACUUCAAUUGAGAAGUAUGUUCUUGGACUUAAAUGUUAGCUGUAUCAGUAUGCUUUAAACCUCAGUGGAGGUGGAUGCAAGUAUGCUUAUGGACUUUAGUGUGUACAAUUAUAUUUUGGACUAUGGACAAUUGAUUAAGAAUGAUACUUUGUGUACUCAACACAGAGAACUACAUUCUAUCUGUAACUGAACUUUAAUAAGAAAUGUGUCUGAAUGAUGAAUUAAUACAAGAUGUUUGUGAGGAAACAAGAUAUGUUAUUUUUCAAAGAAGACUUUGUGUUGUUUUUUUUUUUUAUCUCUGAGUACAUAUUUUAAACGAAGAGGUCUCAAGUGGGUGUAUAUCUUUUAGGCAACUGCAACUGUAAUUUCAAUUUCAACUUGAAAGAAACAACUUUAAAACUCUGCUAACCAAAUUUAUCUCUUGUAGUGGCAUGUCUUUGUCCUUGGCAGUUUAAAGACAUGGUUCUUCAGCCGAACAGCUGAGUUCCCUGUGUGCCAUUACAUUAAUGAUUGUGAAUAUCACUUGUUCAGAGGGUUGACUUCUAACAAGGUCGUGCUUUCCUUGGCUAGUGGUUUUCAAAAGGUGGUCUCCACAUGUUCAUGGAGAUUCACAUUUGCCAAACAAUUAUGACAUCCUGUUUCCUUUUCACUAAUUUAUUUAUUUCAUACUUGUCAUACAUCCAGUCCUUCUUACCCCCCCGGGGGGUGGUGGUGGUGGUGGUGGUGGUGGUGGUGGUGGUGGCAAUCAUAAUAAGGUUAUGAUUGCCAUUUUCCCCCCAAAAGGUUAUGCCACCAGAGAGUGGGUGCAGUUAUUUCCAAAAUGGAGGGAUGCCCUCAUUCAUUGCACUCUUG
Long non-coding RNA from Anolis carolinensis (green anole), 2987 nucleotides. NCBI's taxonomy places the organism in Eukaryota, Metazoa, Chordata, Lepidosauria, Squamata, Anolidae. The record is from Ensembl.